GUCUUGGAACAUCUAAUAAUGAAACGUUGAGUGGAAACGUCCAAAUGUGCAGUGCUGGGCUACUCCAGGACAACCGGACUGAGAAACACUGCUCUAGAUGAUUCAGUCAGCUCACACACCUCCCACUGAUGGAGAUGUGAGAUACAUGGUUGCCAGACGACUAAGAUAUCCCUCCUGUAGCAAAACGUGCCUUCGGGCAAGACUGGGGGAUUGUGAGAAAAUGAAGCCAGAUGCGUGCACAUACAUGACAGAAGAGCUGAUCACCCCCCGGCAUCUCCCUGUGCUUCAAUCUAUCUCUUUCUUUAUCUCUGAUCACCUCCGAUGUCUCUUUCUCCCUCUCGACGUCUCAGCUGUGGGGCUCAGUGGAUUUGGAAUCAUGGAUUUCUUCAUGCAUCAUUUUGUAAAGUCUGACAUCCUGCUGGUUGUGCACAAUUGCCAUUAAAGUGUCUCUUUCCCACAGUAUCGCUAACUGCCCUCUUUGGCUUUUCUUACAUCAAUCUACCCAUCUUUCAGAUGAGAAUACUUUCUUUUAUACUUCCCUGCUCAGUUCUUCAGCUUUGACCUUAAAAUGAGCUCCCAUCAUGGGCCAUAAAGAUAUGCAUGCUCGGCUGCUUUAUGUAUCAAACACGCAUUUUUUUUUUUUUUUUUUAAGAAAACAGCCUUUUUCUGAUAGUUUCGGCUCUAUUUGGUCUUACUAGUUGAGCUCAAGCCUUUAAACUAACUCUAAUGACUACACAGUCGAGGGCAGCCUGAAUUAGUUUGCCCCUUUGAAAUGGAAUUCCCCAGCAACUCCGUCUGUCUUCAAAGGGUACAUUUAAUGAGGGAAUCUGUUACACAAACUAAAACCGAUUACCCUGCACUGCAUCAAAAAUUUCCCCUAAUAUACGAACAUCCCCUGGUCAUUCAAAUGGUAGUAAAUGCUUCUCCCUUAACAAGCAAUGACAUUCAUUUCUGGCUUGUAGCCAUAUUACUUCAUACAUGGCUAAUAAUAUUAAACAUGUCUGUCAAUCUGUGCUGAUUUCCUCUGGACCAAACUGCAUUCCCACUGGCUGAAAUCUGAAGGAGUUUCUGAUACAGUAAACACAAACCACUGUCUGAAAUGAUUGAGUGAUUUUGUUGGUAAUUGUGUUUGUGUAAGGUAUAAAAUGAACAAUAAGCAUUUGGCUGUAUUCCAUUAGCAACAUGUCCACAGAUAAAGAGGAAUUUCACACUCUGAUUUCUGGCCUUCUUACGGCCUCUACACACCAUUUCAAACGGCAAUUAAAUGAUAGCAGUGACUCAAAAUUAAACACAGCAUCCAAUUUAUUAAGCUAUGUGAUUGUUCAUUAUGAAAGAGAAUCACAGAAAUUUAAACAAAUCACCAGUUCAUGAGCAGAAUAAUGUUUCAGCUAAAGGAAUAAUGUCUUGUAGGAGUAAAAGUCAAAUCAAUGUGUAUUUAAGUAAUGUCACAAGCAAGAGGAUUUUUGUAUUGACCUUGACUGUGUUUUUGAUCGAUCAUAAAUGUAUCAAAAAUAUUGAUACAGCUGAGAUAUUAUUAAAAUAUUAUAUAUUAUUUAUAUAUUACAAAU
Long non-coding RNA from Cyprinus carpio carpio, 1568 nucleotides. The record is from Ensembl. Lineage: Eukaryota; Metazoa; Chordata; Actinopteri; Cypriniformes; Cyprinidae.